UACGAGGGGGGCAAGCGUUGUUCGGAAUUAUUGGGCGUAAAGGGUGCGUAGGCGGUUUGGUAAGUCUGAUGUGAAAUCUAUGGGCUCAACUCAUAGUCUGCAUCGGAAACUGCCGGGCUUGAGUGUGGGAGAGGUGAGUGGAAUUCCUGGUGUAGCUGUGAAAUGCGUAGAUAUCAGGAGGAACACCUGUGGCGAAAGCGGCUCACUGGACCAUAACUGACGCUGAUGCACGAAAGCUAGGGGAGCAAACAGG
This 253-nucleotide ribosomal RNA is filed under the name uncultured bacterium. RNAcentral describes it as "partial 16S ribosomal RNA". It matches the Rfam family "Bacterial small subunit ribosomal RNA", at positions 524 to 776 of the family's 1533-position model. The record is from RNAcentral.